CAGCAUAACAGCCUCUGCCCUUGCUGCUGGGUCCACUUGGCCUUGGAGGGUGGGGAAGGGGCCUUCUGACAGUAACAGGACAGAUCUUCUCGUCCUCUCUGGUGAAGCUGCCCUCUGGUGCCGUGGUCUGACUGCUGUAAUAGGAUACUCGAGACAGGGUUGCUUCUACGCAGAAACCUGUGCUCUGACUGUCCUCAGGCUGCUCAUCCAGCUGCGGACAUCUGAUUCUAAAACACCCUCAAGGGGUUGAUGGUGAGGAGGAUUUGGCCAGCACCCACAAAGCCAUGAGGACGUCAGGGAAGGAUCCAUGCACGACAGAGGCCCUC
Molecule: long non-coding RNA, 326 nt
Organism: Otolemur garnettii (small-eared galago)
Lineage: Eukaryota; Metazoa; Chordata; Mammalia; Primates; Galagidae
Exons: 3
Source: RefSeq, a predicted model, not a curated record